Molecule: microRNA precursor, 93 nt
Filed under: Tupaia belangeri (northern tree shrew)
Lineage: Eukaryota; Metazoa; Chordata; Mammalia; Scandentia; Tupaiidae
Description: miRNA (ENSTBEG00000019970.1)
Source: RNAcentral
GUCAAAAAUGCAGAUGCCUGGGCCCACUUGAGAUCACUAAAUCAGAAUCUAUGAGUGGGGAGUCCAGGAAUCUGUAUUUUAAACAAAUAUCUC